Molecule: ribosomal RNA, 311 nt
Filed under: Oostethus brachyurus (short-tailed pipefish)
Lineage: Eukaryota; Metazoa; Chordata; Actinopteri; Syngnathiformes; Syngnathidae
Description: partial 16S ribosomal RNA
Rfam family: Bacterial large subunit ribosomal RNA
Source: RNAcentral
UAGAUGAACAAUAAGAUCAUGUCAAAAGCCACAGCUAUGUGAUCGAACCAAAUGAACACUUAUUGAAUAUCUUUGGUUGGGGCGACCACGGGGAAAAAAAUAACCCCCAUGAGGAGUGAGAGUAAGCUCUUAUAUUUAAGAACUACCGUUCCAAAACCCAGAAUAUCUGACCAAAUGAUCCGGUGAGCCGAUCAACGAACCGAGUUACCCUAGGGAUAACAGCGCAAUCCCCUUUUAGAGUCCCUAUCAACAAGGGGGUUUACGACCUCGAUGUUGGAUCAGGACAUCCUAAUGGUGCAGCUGCUAUUAAG